AAACGUUUUUAGGCUACUGUCUUUGGGGAAGCGCCUCUUGACCGCACCCCUAAGGCAUAAACCUGUCGAGAUGCUGUCGUUUCUUUUGAUUUAGAGAAACUACAAAAGAAAAUUAAAUCUUACUUUAAGAAUUUUGUUACUUUAUCUACUUAAAGGAAAUUUCAAAGUAACUAAGCUUGUAGUAGUUUUUUAGAAUGUUAUUUCGGACGCGGGUUCGAUUCCCGCCGUCUCCACAA
This 236-nucleotide transfer-messenger RNA is filed under the name Candidatus Woesebacteria bacterium RIFOXYD1_FULL_40_21. RNAcentral's name for it is "partial transfer-messenger RNA". It matches the Rfam family "transfer-messenger RNA", at positions 127 to 374 of the family's 374-position model. From Rfam's summary of the family: Bacterial tmRNA, also known as 10Sa RNA or SsrA, is named for its dual tRNA and mRNA-like properties. Lineage: Bacteria; Candidatus Woeseibacteriota. The record is from RNAcentral.